This 468-nucleotide ribosomal RNA is filed under the name uncultured bacterium. RNAcentral's name for it is "partial 16S ribosomal RNA". It matches the Rfam family "Bacterial small subunit ribosomal RNA", at positions 28 to 507 of the family's 1533-position model. The record is from RNAcentral.
GACGAACGCUGGCGGCGUGCUUAACGCAUGCAAGUCGAACGGAAAGGCCCUGCUUUUGUGGGGUGCUCGAGUGGCGAACGGGUGAGUAACACGUGAGUAACCUGCCCUUGACUUUGGGAUAACUUCAGGAAACUGGGGCUAAUACCGGAUAGGACCUCCUGCUGCAUGGUGGGGGUUGGAAAGUUUCGGCGGUUGGGGAUGGACUCGCGGCUUAUCAGCUUGUUGGUGGGGUAGUGGCUUACCAAGGCUUUGACGGGUAGCCGGCCUGAGAGGGUGACCGGCCACAUUGGGACUGAGAUACGGCCCAGACUCCUACGGGAGGCAGCAGUGGGGAAUAUUGCACAAUGGGCGGAAGCCUGAUGCAGCAACGCCGCGUGCGGGAUGACGGCCUUCGGGUUGUAAACCGCUUUCGCCUGUGACGAAGCGUGAGUGACGGUAAUGGGUAAAGAAGCACCGGCUAACUACGUG